This 445-nucleotide long non-coding RNA is filed under the name Manacus vitellinus (golden-collared manakin). RNAcentral describes it as "lncRNA (ENSMVIG00005011612.1)". The record is from RNAcentral. Lineage: Eukaryota; Metazoa; Chordata; Aves; Passeriformes; Pipridae.
GGAGGGGUGGGGGGGGGGAGAGAAAGAGAGAGGGAGAAAGAGAGAGAGAGAGAGAGAGAGAGAGAAUCAAUAUCAAGAAUAGAAGGAGCUCCGAAGCCAUUUUUUUUUUUUUUUAAAGAAGUAUCAGGACUUGGGAAGAGGGUGACAAAAGAAGGUUUUUCAAAGAGGCAGUGGAGGAGGUUCUAAUAAAUUUGGAAGGAAACAGUUCCCUGUCUUGGGAAAAAAGGAGAACUCCUGGCUGAUUAGCAUUCACACCAGAUGGCUUUUAGGCCACAAAAACAGAGUGUACCUUGGAGUCAUCAAACUGGAAAAACAAUCAAGACCUGCUCAGUCCAUCUUCCCAGGGCCAGUGAAGGAUGGUGUGUGCAUCACGUCUAGUGUUUUGUCUAGUUUCUACAUAAAUACCUUAAAGGUCUUUGCUCAGCACCCAUGAGUUAAGCUUUAG